This 788-nucleotide ribosomal RNA is filed under the name uncultured Staphylococcus sp. Its description in RNAcentral is "bacterial SSU rRNA". It matches the Rfam family "Bacterial small subunit ribosomal RNA", at positions 131 to 905 of the family's 1533-position model. The record is from RNAcentral. Lineage: Bacteria; Bacillati; Bacillota; Bacilli; Caryophanales; Staphylococcaceae.
UAUAAGACUGGGAUAACUUCGGGAAACCGGAGCUAAUACCGGAUAACAUUUAGAACCGCAUGGUUCUAAAGUGAAAGAUGGUUUUGCUAUCACUUAUAGAUGGACCCGCGCCGUAUUAGCUAGUUGGUAAGGUAACGGCUUACCAAGGCGACGAUACGUAGCCGACCUGAGAGGGUGAUCGGCCACACUGGGACUGAGACACGGUCCAGACUCCUACGGGAGGCAGCAGUAGGGAAUCUUCCGCAAUGGGCGAAGGCCUGACGGAGCAACGCCGCGUGAGUGAUGAAGGGUUUCGGCUCGUAAAACUCUGUUAUUAGGGAAGAACAAAUGUGUAAGUAACUGUGCACAUCUUGACGGUACCUAAUCAGAAAGCCACGGCUAGCUACGUGCCAGCAGCCGCGGUAAUACGUAGGUGGCAAGCGUUAUCCGGAAUUAUUGGGCGUAAAGCGCGCGUAGGCGGUUUCUUAAGUCUGAUGUGAAAGCCCACGGCUCAACCGUGGAGGGUCAUUGGAAACUGGGAAACUUGAGUGCAGAAGAGGAAAGUGGAAUUCCAUGUGUAGCGGUGAAAUGCGCAGAGAUAUGGAGGAACACCAGUGGCGAAGGCGACUUUCUGGUCUGUAACUGACGCUGAUGUGCGAAAGCGUGGGGAUCAAACAGGAUUAGAUACCCUGGUAGUCCACGCCGUAAACGAUGAGUGCUAAGUGUUAGGGGGUUUCCGCCCCUUAGUGCUGCAGCUAACGCAUUAAGCACUCCGCCUGGGGAGUACGACCGCAAGGUUGAAACUCAAG